CCUACUUUGUCUUGGAAUCAAUAUGUAGCAAUAUUGAAAGCACAAUUCCAGUUCGUACCAGUUGUACUUUCCUUUUCCCUGCUCGUGUUUUAGCACCAGAUAUAAGCUGCUGUGUACUAAUGUAUGAUCUGGAUCCUGCAACAGCUCCUACACCUUUACCGCGAUUAUCAUUGAAUAGACUCUUUGCAACAUUGGCAGUUUUAGCAUUUUUGG
RNAcentral lists this long non-coding RNA (213 nucleotides) under Setaria viridis. Its description in RNAcentral is "long non-coding RNA (SVIR_LNC003178)". Lineage: Eukaryota; Viridiplantae; Streptophyta; Magnoliopsida; Poales; Poaceae. The record is from RNAcentral.